UGGGGAAUAUUGCACAAUGGGCGCAAGCCUGAUGCAGCCAUGCCGCGUGUAUGAAGAAGGCCUUCGGGUUGUAAAGUACUUUCAGUCGGGAGGAAGGUGUCAAGGUUAAUAACCUUGGCAAUUGACGUUACCGACAGAAGAAGCACCGGCUAACUCCGUGCCAGCAGCCGCGGUAAUACGGAGGGUGCAAGCGUUAAUCGGAAUUACUGGGCGUAAAGCGCACGCAGGCGGUUGAUUGAGUCAGAUGUGAAAUCCCCGGGCUUAACCCGGGAAUUGCAUCUGGUACUGGUCAGCUAGAGUCUUGUAGAGGGGGGUAGAAUUACAUGUGUAGCGGUGAAAUGCGUAGAGAUGUGGUGGAAUACCAGUGGCGAAGGCGGCCCCCUGGACAAAGACUGACGCUCAGGUGCGAAAGAGUGGGGAGCAGACAGG
RNAcentral lists this ribosomal RNA (429 nucleotides) under Chloroflexota bacterium. Its description in RNAcentral is "Chloroflexi bacterium partial 16S ribosomal RNA". It matches the Rfam family "Bacterial small subunit ribosomal RNA", at positions 355 to 776 of the family's 1533-position model. Lineage: Bacteria; Bacillati; Chloroflexota. The record is from RNAcentral.